This is a long non-coding RNA of Diabrotica virgifera virgifera (western corn rootworm), 608 nucleotides long. RefSeq lists it as uncharacterized. The record is from RefSeq and is a predicted model, not a curated record. The transcript is spliced from 2 exons. Lineage: Eukaryota; Metazoa; Arthropoda; Insecta; Coleoptera; Chrysomelidae.
CUUCAUCUCCACUGCAUCUUGAUCUGCACUUGCUGCAGUUCUAAAGAAGUGAAACUAGUGAAGUGAAAGUGAACGUACGUAUAUAAAGCAGAAAUAAGGUUCACAUUUCGCAGUAUAAUUUCGUGUACUAAUAAUAUGCUACAUUUUACUAAUCUUUGUGCUGUGGUUUCUCUGAUACCAAUUAAAAAAUUGAUCUCACAGUGGAACGUCAGGAUUUUCUCAACGAAAUAUUCGGUCUACUAGAAAUGCAACCACCAACUCAAUUUCCACCAACUUCUAGCCCGUCAGCUCCAAUAUCCAUUUUAAAGAAUUCAACCAUAGAAAAUUUCAAGAAAACAAUGGAGGAUACGUACAAUCAAUUCUCAACCCAGUACCAGUCCGGGUUCAUUUUAUUCGAAAAAGUAUGGAAACGGAUAGAGAAAAAUUUGAAAAAAAAGAAAUGGAAAAAAUUGAAAAUUUAUCCUUACGCAUUACUUUUAUUUUAUUAAUUAGGAGUAAUAAUUUUGCAAAUAGGUUUCAAUGGUUAAAAUAAUAUUUAACUGGUUAUUAUAAAUAUGAAUGCAAUUUUGUAUAAAAUUAAUUCAAAAAUAAACAGGUAUUAUAAUUUU